RNAcentral lists this microRNA (23 nucleotides) under Manihot esculenta (cassava). RNAcentral describes it as "mes-miR160g". Its record names the gene mes-miR160g. Lineage: Eukaryota; Viridiplantae; Streptophyta; Magnoliopsida; Malpighiales; Euphorbiaceae. The record is from miRBase by way of RNAcentral.
UGCCUGGCUCCCUGUAUGCCAUC